Molecule: long non-coding RNA, 899 nt
Organism: Ornithorhynchus anatinus (platypus)
Lineage: Eukaryota; Metazoa; Chordata; Mammalia; Monotremata; Ornithorhynchidae
Exons: 2
Source: RefSeq, a predicted model, not a curated record
UCUACCCCAGCUCUCAGCACGGUGCGUCUCUUCCACGUGGGUCCCAAACUAUCGCUGUAGUUGGCGCUUGGGAGUGUACGGUGGAGAUAACGGACAUAUUCUGUACCUUUAAGCUCACACUCUGAGGGAGGUAAGCAGGCAUAAACGAAGAGCAGAGGGAAUUUUGAUCAAUCAGAAAUGUAAACCCUUAAUCAUUCAAUUAAUGGUAUUUAUUGAGUGCUCAAUCUGUGCGUUUACUAAGCGCUUGCAAAACUACAGUACGGCAAGAUGGUGGACAUGAUCCCUGCCCGUAGCAUUUGUUUUAGAAUUCCUUUCUCAGGGCACUUCUUUUUUUCCCUAGACGAACCUCCUUGCCUCGUGGGUUCUAACAAUCUGUUUUUAAUAUCAAUCGAUUUUAUUUAUCGAGUGCUUACCGUGUUCAGAGCAUCGUACUGUAUGAUUGGGAGAUUGCGAUAUAACAAUAUAACGGACACAAAUAUAACAGACGCGUUCCCCGACUACGCAGCAUAGGUGGAUUCUGCCUGUCUCCCCAGAGGAUUAAGGAACUUCAUUCUUUCCUGGGACGGUUGAAAACGACGCCUCCGUUGCUUGUCGCUAAGUCUGAACCAUCUCCUAAAAGCACUUUUAUAAGUCCAGAAAGAGACAGACGGAUUCCUUGUAAAACCCACAGCGGACCUUUCUGAGAAAGGUAGUAUCCGCCUUCACUUCAGGUCACCCCGAAUGCUGCGCUUGGCCAUCGUAACAGUGUAUUGAUCCUGUCUUGCCUUCUGUCAAUAGAGCUGCUCCUGAUCUUCAUUCCGGGACUCACCCAUCUGGAAAAUCCUCUAGGUGUUCUCACCCAACAGAAUGUGUCCCGGAGUGGAAAGCUGAAAUCUAAAUAGAACGUGUUUCACCUGAAA